RNAcentral lists this ribosomal RNA (522 nucleotides) under uncultured bacterium. Its description in RNAcentral is "bacterial SSU rRNA". It matches the Rfam family "Bacterial small subunit ribosomal RNA", at positions 355 to 867 of the family's 1533-position model. The record is from RNAcentral.
UGGGGAAUUUUCCGCAAUGGGCGAAAGCCUGACGGAGUGACGCCGCGUGUGGGACGAAGGCCUUCGGGUCGUAAACCACUGUCAGUGGGAAAGAGGGAUGUCGGCGCGAUAACCGCCGGCAUUUGACGGUACCUGCAGAGGAAGCCCCGGCUAACUCUGUGCCAGCGGCCGCGGUAAGACAGAGGGGGCAAGCGUUGCUCGGAAUUACUGGGCGUAAAGGGCGCGUAGGCGGGAUGGCAAGUCGGUCGUGAAAUCCCUCGGCUCAACCGAGGAUCGUCGAUCGAUACUGCCGUUCUUGAGGAUUGCAGAGGAGACUGGAAUUCCCGGUGUAGCGGUGAAAUGUGUAGAGAUCGGGAGGAACACCGGUGGCGAAAGGCGGGUCUCUGGGCGAAUUCCUGACGCCGAGGCGCGAAAGCGUGGGGAGCAAACGGGAUUAGAUACCCCGGUAGUCCACGCUGUAACGAUGACGACUAGGUGUGGGGGGUUCAGUCCCUUCCGUGCCGCAGCUAACGCAUUAAGUCG